This is a non-coding RNA of Phoenix dactylifera (date palm), 1930 nucleotides long. Lineage: Eukaryota; Viridiplantae; Streptophyta; Magnoliopsida; Arecales; Arecaceae. The record is from RefSeq and is a predicted model, not a curated record.
CAUGGAUACUUGAGUGUUUUGGUGGUUGAUUAUUGUUAUUUAAAAUAUGAAUCAUAGGGACAAAUAGAAUUUGUCUUAUAAAUGUGGAAAUUGUGUGGCAAGAUAUUUUAGACUCUUUAAAAAUAUACCUUCUAGUAACUCUUGUUAAUUAAAUCUAAUGAUAUUUUUAUUCAUAAUUUAGGUAGGUAGAAUAUUUUCAAAAUAUUCCUCACUCAUUUUAUAAUAUAUAUAGAUAACAGCAGCAAUUAAUAAUUUAGUAAUAAAAAAUCAACAGUUCUUUAUUUAAGUCAACGUUUAUAAAACAAGAAAAUAGCAUCUCUAACUAGGCUUAAAAAUUUGAAUUCUAAAAAAAUAUUUGUCUGAAAAGGGUGAGAUAAGCAGACAAUACAACGGUUAUAACGGCCGUUAUUUGAAACCUCUCUCCUCGACCGGUAAUUUCGGGCGCCCGUCUCGUCCUCCAUGCUCCUCUCGUCCCCUUCCACGCCACGACCUCCGCCGCCGGCGCUAGCUCACCGGAGUUCUACCCUCCCCUCCAGGUUCUCUCUCGAGACCCGAGAUGGCACCCCAAAGAGCUCUCGCGUGGCAACGAUCGAAUCCGAUGCUCGUCACCCAAUCCUCUCCCCCGCCCCUCGCGACCAAUCUAGGGCUUCGCCGGAUCCAGAGUUAGGGCUUCUCUCCCUUCUCUUCGUGAUCUCCUUGGUACCCAUUUACCUCUCUUUUCCCUAAUAUACAUCUUUUCGAUGACUCCGACAAGAAAAGAGCUAAAAAUGUGAUUUUCCCCCUUGCUACUGAAUAAAAUGCGUGCUUUUUAUGACAUUGGCUAAUGUUAUUCGAUGAUUUUACGGUCAAUCUUACUUUGCUCUGUUAUAUUACGUUCUGAAGAUCAACUCGACUCAACUAAGUUUUAAUCCCAAACUAGUUGGGGUCGGCAACAUCUCACUAUGUUUCUAAAACGCCUCGAGCUAGCUUCUUUACUACAAUAACUUAACAAAUAGGAAGCAGUGAUUUGGAAAGGGGAAGGAGAAGUUAGACUGAUAAUUGUUUCAUUUGUUAUUGCUGAAGCUGUUGAUGAACUUGGAAUUAGACUGAUAAUGUAGAUUGUGCGAGCAGUUCAGAAUUUGGUGGAAGCUAUUUUCUUUACUUAGUGAUAGAGUAUCAAUGCUUAAGCAGCAGAAGUGUAGUCAUUUCAUUGCAUGUGUUUCUAAUUUAUACAAUCAAUAUCGAUGGGAAGGAGAGGGUGUGAAUAUAGCAUUUGAAAGCUCAAAUAUCUGAAAAAUCUUUAGCCUUAGAAUAACUCUCUAGAUCACUAAGUCACAAAUCCUCAUAUAUCCAUGUUGUACAAUUAGUUUUUAGUUGUCUCGAACUUCUGUGUAUAUCUGACAAAUUCCUUGCUUGUUUUCGGCUCUCUGUUCUUACUUAACUUGAAUUAGUGAGAAAAUUUUCUUGGGAAAAGAAUUGUUUACUGUGCAGGCUAUGGGUUCAUUUUUCUCAUUGGCAUUUAUUUCUCUUCCAGCCCUGAGUGUAAGAAGGCCUUUAGAAAGUUGGCAGCUUCAGUGGAUAAACUGUCCAAAGUAGUAUCAGAAGAACUACCUGGAACCUUGUCUUUGUUAAAGAUGUCUGGUUUGGAGAUUAGUGAUUUUAACUUGCCAAUUGAACAACCUAAGGCAAGGAAGAUCAGGAAAGCAACAUGGAAAGAAAGCUAGAACAAAUAAAUUGAGCUCUCGUGGGGGAAGAAGUAAUCCAAUAAUAAACUGAUCUCCAUACUAGAUUCAAGUGUAUUGGAGUUUGCGAAUACUCUAGGUCUAAAGCUGAAAUUGUGAUCAGGACACAGUGUCAGUGUAGAUUUCAAUCUGAUUUCACAGAUUCCAUGAACACAUUUUGUAUUCUGGAAUAUGGAUUAAUAUCAGACAGGUUUAAUCUGUAGUUUAAA